GUGGGGAAUAUUGGACAAUGGGGGAAACCCUGAUCCAGCAACGCCGCGUGGAGGAUGAAGGUCUUCGGAUUGUAAACUCCUGUUAGGGGGGACGAAGGGAUGUCGGCGAACAGUCGGCAAACUUGACGGUACCCCCAGAGGAAGCCCCGGCUAACUCUGUGCCAGCAGCCGCGGUAAUACAGAGGGGGCAAGCGUUAUUCGGAAUUAUUGGGCGUAAAGGGCGCGUAGGCGGCCUUGUAAGUCUUGGGUGAAAUCCCUCAGCUCAACUGAGGAACUGCCUCGGAUACUGCAAGGCUUGAGGCCGGGAGAGGGUAGUGGAAUUCCCAGUGUAGCGGUGAAAUGCGUAGAUAUUGGGAGGAACACCGGUGGCGAAGGCGGCUACCUGGACCGGUUCUGACGCUGAUGCGCGAAAGCGUGGGGAGCAAACAGGAUUAGAAACCCCUGUAGUCC
This 450-nucleotide ribosomal RNA is filed under the name uncultured Acidobacteriota bacterium. Its description in RNAcentral is "bacterial SSU rRNA". It matches the Rfam family "Bacterial small subunit ribosomal RNA", at positions 354 to 796 of the family's 1533-position model. Lineage: Bacteria; Pseudomonadati; Acidobacteriota. The record is from RNAcentral.